Homarus americanus (American lobster) is the source of this 1279-nucleotide long non-coding RNA. RefSeq lists it as uncharacterized. The record is from RefSeq and is a predicted model, not a curated record. The transcript is spliced from 2 exons. NCBI's taxonomy places the organism in Eukaryota, Metazoa, Arthropoda, Malacostraca, Decapoda, Nephropidae.
CAAGGAGUGGCCCCAGCGGGUAACGGAGCUCACAGCCGCGGCCCUAACAGUACGCGGGGGGGCCUUGAGACGACCAGACCACAGGUGAAUUGGGGACUUCAAGAUAAACACAGGUCAGUUCUUCCCACAAGGCACGCUAUACACCACCAUCCUAAGUGUUCCAGAGGAGUGGUGACUGGAAGCCAGAGAAGGACCAAAAACAGAAAAGGAAGUGUAGUAAGAAAUUAGAAUAAAAAAAUAAACCAAGAACGAAUCAAGCAAGAAUUGAAGAAAGUUCAAAGGUACACGACAGGCAGUCGGACGACAUACCAAAGGCGCGUCAAGCAGUUCACCGGAAAUGUGUUGGGGACCAGCUACAGGUAUGUCAAGGACGCGGAAAAGACACAGGAGACUCCAGCUAACAGGCUUACCAAGACGUGUUGGAGACGACCAUAUGUAGCAACUGAAGACACGUGCAUGUAUACCACACACACACACAAACACACACAGAAGCUGCAAAAACAAAAACCUUAGUUGCCUUCAUCUUCGAGAAAAUGAAAAUAGGUCUGGUUUGCUUGCAUGCCAGAUGAUCCAAAUUUAUAUUGAAGAUUGACAGGUAAAUACAUGACCCAGAAAAAACACAAACUGUACAAGCAUGACAUAGCAAAACUAAAUAUGAAAGACCAACCCAAAAUCCAUUUAUGCAACUCCCAGACAAAAACGUAGAUACAGGUAUACAGUAUGUAUGACACAUACAAAAACAUCUUUGUAUGAUACAAGAGAAAAACGUAUAAUCAUGGCCUCGGCAAAUAUAUAAGCUUGACCCACGUAAAGGUAAUUAUACGUGCAUGACCCAGGCCAAAGCACGUGAACACACUCGGGCGGGAACAAAAGCUCACUAGCCUUCACCGCCGGAAAGGUGAAACCAGGUCUAGUUCGAUAGAAAGCCAGAGGAACACGACUGACCUGCCUGAGUGAGACUUCGCCAUCACUACCUCCAUCCGGGUUGGCUCAAGUUCAACUGGCAAGGGUGUUGGAGCGUCACCUGCGUGGUGCAAAUACCAAGAACAUCGGUGCUGUACAGAUGUCGGAAUAACUCUCUGGUCAUGCUCUGGAACGCAUGUGAAUGUCACUAAUGGUAGAGUCAUAACAAAGAAUUAUUUAUAGUAGACAUGACGGGAUCAGGGAGGCGGUACACACUGGGACGCUCUUGAUGCUGCCGCAGAUGUGAACCAUUGUUUCCCUUUUCCCGUGUGAUUUUAUCAAGAUGUGAACCAAAUAUAUUAGAUCAUAAAUGGUG